Taeniopygia guttata (zebra finch) is the source of this 403-nucleotide non-coding RNA. The record is from RefSeq and is a predicted model, not a curated record. Lineage: Eukaryota; Metazoa; Chordata; Aves; Passeriformes; Estrildidae.
GGCAAGAGAAGAACAAAUCAGAUCAUGCAAGAGAGGACUCCAUGUGAGUUCAUGCACACAUGGUACAAGAGUGCCCACAGCACAGGACCAACGCUGAGACUCAGGACAUCCUGCACCUUGGCCCAGGAAACCCAAGGCUGCCACAGAGAACCUGCUGCACAAGGUACACAAUGCCAUGAGGAUGCUCAGCACUUCCCAGCAAACACUGUUGGUCUCCUCUCCAAACACCAUGCUGUACUCAAAACAUAGGACCUGGAAGCUGUCGAUAUUUAAGAGGAGCUUUCAUGGAAGAAAGGCUGUGAUGACUUUCAGAGGUCCUUCAUCCCUGACUGUCUGCAGGAGUAAGUUAAUCAGGAGAUGAAGCUCUUGUAUCUAAGCCAGGCUUGGGAUGGAGCUGUGCAGU